Triticum aestivum (bread wheat) is the source of this 124-nucleotide non-coding RNA. The record is from Rfam. Lineage: Eukaryota; Viridiplantae; Streptophyta; Magnoliopsida; Poales; Poaceae.
CAAAUACUCCCUCCAUUCAGAAAUACUUGUCCUAGAAAUAGAUAAAAUUGAUGUAUCUAUAACUAAAACAAGUCUAGAUACAACUAUUUUUAGAAUAAGUAUUUUCGGACGGAGGGAAUAUCUU